UUUUUCUUUUUUUGAAAGGACUCUUUUACUUAAUUUAGAUUUGUUUAUUUCAUUCAAUCUAGUCUGACAGUCGACACCCCUCACUUUCUUUGUCUUUCUUUGCAGUGAAGGUGAAGAAUGUCAUCCACCACCGCACUCAAGUCUAGGCCGUGCAGCCACCACCACCUCUACCUUAAGCUGAAGCCGCACCACCACCUCUUUUGCUCUCCUGCAAACCGCGCCAUCAACACCACCUCUAAUUGAUUAGGAGCUGAUCUUGGAUCUUCUUCGUUAUAUUUUUAUGAGAAAGGGUUGUGUUUAUGUGCUCAACAACAGAGGUCAUAUUAUUUUUGUUGCAGGAUUAGAUCCUUGACACCAAGCAAACCCUAGUAAGAAGUGGUAUGGAGUUCUUUAGUAAUUGGUUUACUUCCUUUUUAAGGAUGUUUUGAAAUAGUUAUAUAAUGGUUCUUCAGGUUUUUCUACAUUACUCACUCACUUCUACUAUGAUGACUGAUGAGAUUGGUAGUUGAAAUAUUUUCUAUAUCCUACUUGAUGUACUUACUUUAAAUUUAUCACAACAUCUCUCAAUGUACUUGCUUUAGUUUUAUCACCACAUCUCAAUAUUGUUUAUAUAUGAUAUGUAUUAAUGUCUUGCCCAAGUUUAUUCUUGCUACUAAAGUUUCUUUGGAUAUGCUAUGUAUUUGUACUUUCACGGCAUUAUCAUUCAUAACCAUAUUAGUAUUCUGUUGCCAGUCUUGCCACUGUUUUCAGUUGCCUUCCUCUGUUCAUAUUCCAUAUUUUAUUUUAAGUAUUCUUAUAAUGGCUAUCUUAAGCUUUCUAAUAAGUUGGAUUUUAUGCUGCUACUACAUCUUUGUUUAUUCUUGUACUUGUACAUCCCAGGCUCCCUAACUCUUGCUUUUGAUGUUGAUAUUUACAACUCUAUCUAACUUGCAUCGUAGAAUCCAUGUGAUAUGUCUGUUUCAACGAGCUUUUCUUUGAGUUGUUCAUUAAAGAGUAUUUUCAAUAAUAUACCUCAUUGAUUAUGGCUACUUUAAGGUACUUUGACCAUACUUGUAUUGACUCCGUUUAACCAAUCUUCCUAUGUGGUCCUGAAAGCAUGCACAUUACUAUUUUUUUUUUUUUAAUAUUUUUCAUUCUUGCAUCGUUUGUACCUUUAUGAUAUAAGUCAUAUAACAUUAGAAUUUUUUAUUUUUAUAUCUUAUGGAAAUGUAUUCUUAAAUGCAUGGAAAUGGUUUUAUAUGUCAUAUACCUCUUAAUGCAGGAGCUGUAGUGCCUGCGUUGUCAUUCAACAACUUUUCUUAUCAUAUCAUGGUUGACAAUUUUUAUGUCUGCAUCUUCAAAGGAUCUGCCUUUUACGGUUCAAGAGGUUAAAGAUUCCUACUUAGUGAGAUUUUGUUGCUGCCUUGCUACUUCCCUCCUACUGACGACAUUGAUGCCCCUGCUACUUCACGUUCUGCUCUGCUAGGCUGCUACUUCACGUUCUGCUGUUGGGAUGCUACUUCACAUUCAACCUUUGCUAGAGCAUCUGCUGUUGUUGCUUUAAGUUAUUUAUUUUCAAAAAAUAAAAAAAAUGUAUAUCUUCAAGUUUCUAUUGGUCAAAAAUAAUUGGUGUUUAUGGGUGUUUUUUUUAAGAAACUAUGAAAUUAUAUCACUUCACAUUUUGGUAUAUCGUAUAUGUUAAUUUCACAUUUGUGAUCA
Molecule: long non-coding RNA, 1698 nt
Organism: Chenopodium quinoa (quinoa)
Lineage: Eukaryota; Viridiplantae; Streptophyta; Magnoliopsida; Caryophyllales; Amaranthaceae
Exons: 3
Source: RefSeq, a predicted model, not a curated record